AUGGCAUGGGCUAUGUUUUUUUUUAUUUGGGCUGGAUCGUUCAAUGAAGAAGGAACCCGACUGCAGCCCACGUACCAAAGCUUGGCCAGGACGGCCCAAGUUCAAACAGUGAAUGGGAGGAAAGAAAUCGAGUCGGGCCUUCCAGCGUGCGUGGAGCGAUUGGAGAUAGACACAGAAAGACUUGCGGUUAGCAUUUUCCAAGAGAUGGACAGCGCGGAGAUGAAGAUGGUUAUCCUGGGGCAAGAACAAACAUUCAGACAACAGGUUCAUGAGAUGCACCGAGUUUACCAUGCUCAGAAACAGUUGACGAGGGAGAUGCAGAUAGCUGGGCUAACGAAACCUAAACUCGAGGUCUGGCGCGAGGACAAGGCCACCAACCAGGAGACAGGCGGCACCGCGCCGUCAUGGAGAUCGUCGGCGGACAGGGUGCCGGUCCAGAUGGUGUUCCAUCCGACGGUGGAGUUGCCGGUUCUGCGCACUGAAUGGCACGGGGGUCCGACUUAUGGAUAUGAUACGGUGAAAUUCAGUGUGGAGGUGCAUCAUGGUGGGUUUUUUGCGGGAAAAGGAGUGAAUCUGACAUAUUUGGAUGAAAAGAUAACAUGGUUUGACAACUUGGACAGGAAUACACUAUGUACUGAUGUGAUCUGCUAUAUGCUAGCACAACUUAAUUAUCCUGAUGAGGAGAAAAUUAUGCUAUGGUGCCCACCUGGUAAAACUCUUGCAUAUGUGGUGGAAAUUAACUUGGGAAAUGACUGUUUAAAGAUGGCUAGAGCAUCUGUGUACUCCAAGCAACAAGCAGAUGCAGAUGGGUCAGAGGGCCAAGAAAAAUCAGAUGUGUCAGAGAAUUCAGAAGUUUCAGAAGAAGAGUACGAUUGUGAUUCAGACAUUGAUCCUACUUGGUACGACAGUGAUUAUGGAAUGGAGGAGGAUGAUGAUAAGGACUAUGAUAAGAAUGUAGAUGAUGUUGUGCAUGAUGCUAUGGUUGAGAAGGGCAAAAACAUAGGAGCUGAAUAUAGGCAUGUUCCUGGGUCAGAUGAUGUUCAUGAGGAUGAUCUGCAACUGCCAGAAGAGGAUGACUUGGAGAAAAGACAUAAAAGUGACUCCGAUGAUGAGGAGUACAAGGCAAAGAAAAAGAAGGAGAAACCUAUAUAUAGGUUUAGAACAUUUAACCCUGCCGUUGACAUGGAAAACCCUCAGUUCAAGCUAGGAAUGGUAUUUGAUUCAGUGGAUCUACUUAGGAAAGUUGUAGCACAAUAUGCAGUAAAGAACAGGGUGCAAAUUAAGAAGAAAAGAAAUAACAAGCAAAGGUUUGAGGCUGUGUGUUCUGAGGGUUGCCCUUGGAAGCUUGUGGCUGUCAAUGACAACAGGACACAGUCCUUCCUUGUAAAGACUUAUGUUGGAGAGCAUACAUGUGAAAAAGUUUGGGAUGUGAAGGAACUAACAGCCCCUUUUCUUGCCAAUAAAUAUGUAGAGAAGUUCAGAGACAAUGACAAGAUUUCACUGUCUACCUUUUCAAGAAAAGUCAGGAAGAAAUUCAACAUGGAAGUUAGCAGGCACAAGCUAGGGAGAGCUAGGAAAGCAACAUUGGAAGUUGUGCGUGGGGAUGAGGUGAAGCAGUACUCAUUGCUUUGGAGAUAUGCAGAGGAAUAUGGUGGCCAAUUACUCACUGCAGUUGGUAUUGAUGGCAAUGACUCAAUUUAUCCUAUUGCAAUGGCAGUGGUGGAGACAGAAUGUUAUGCAUCUUGGAACUGGUUCCUUUGUACACUGAAGCAAGACCUCAACAUAAUUAACACAAGCACAAUCACUAUCAUGAGUGACAAACAGAAGAUAUAUCCAACUAGAGAUAAAGAUGAGUGGGCUGCUGUAUCUGCAACACCUAUUUUACCACCACUAUAUGAGAGAAGAGCUGGAAGGAGAAGGAAGAACAGAAGGCAGCAACCUGAGGAGAGUGAAGAUGACACCAAACUAAGCAGGCAUGGUGCUAUUAUGCAUUGUGGUUACUGCAAAGAAGCUGGUCAUAACAGAAGUGGCUGCUCAAAGUUGAAAGCUGCUGUAAUAAGAGAAGUGGGUGGGGAUGAUGAGGAACAAGCUGAGCAAGUUCCAGAGCAAACUGAGCAUGUUCCAGAGCAGCCUAAGCAAGUUCCAGAGCAGCCUGAGCAAGUUCCAGAGCCAAAUGAUCUAGUUAGAUCAAAAAGUUCUAGAGGAAGGAAGAGAAAGCCCACUGACAAAAUGAAUGAACUAGUACAGCAGCUGAUGGAAAAGGCAAAGAAAAAGAAGUCCAAAAUGGUUAUUGAUGAGAAUGGAGAUGUUGACUUUCCAGUAAUAUUAACUCAUAUUCAACAUAGAACUAUGAGGCCACAUUUGGACCCAACACAAGUACAAGACAGCAUGCACAAGGAGUACCUGUUUCUAGGAUGCACCGAAUUCCAGAUGAAAGUGCAUUUGUUACUGAGCUUAGGGCCAACAUUCCAAAUGAACCAGCACACACAACACAAAGAGCAAGAGGAGCAAGAGGGGCAAGAGGAAGAAGAGAAGCAAGAGGAGCAAGAGGCGGGUCAGUGGCAGCAGGAAGAGGACCAGCACAUGGACAUGAACCAGACCAACCAAGAAGAAGAGGAAGAACAAAUUCUACAAGAGGGAAAAGGAAAAGAAAAACUAGGGGAAUGGAGUGGCUCUUACUUGGGGAAGGAACAAGUAGAACUGGACAUGUGUAAGAGGAAGCCCAAGAUGAGUUCCAGUGUUAUGUACUGGUCUUUUGGUGGAUACGAAACUCUGCUGAAUUACUACUUAAACUGUGGCUGA
RNAcentral lists this ribosomal RNA (2802 nucleotides) under Triticum aestivum (bread wheat). Its description in RNAcentral is "partial small subunit ribosomal RNA". The record is from RNAcentral. Lineage: Eukaryota; Viridiplantae; Streptophyta; Magnoliopsida; Poales; Poaceae.